GGCCUGGUGGUCUAGUGGUUACAAAUCUUGCUUCAGGUAAUCUCGUGCCUUUUACAAGGCAUGAAAUGCGAGAGGCCCUGGGUUCAAAUCCCAGUCAGGCCC
RNAcentral lists this transfer RNA (102 nucleotides) under Pleurotus ostreatus (oyster mushroom). RNAcentral's name for it is "tRNA-Leu". It matches the Rfam family "tRNA". From Rfam's summary of the family: Transfer RNA (tRNA) molecules are approximately 80 nucleotides in length. The record is from RNAcentral. Lineage: Eukaryota; Fungi; Basidiomycota; Agaricomycetes; Agaricales; Pleurotaceae.